This is a long non-coding RNA of Manis pentadactyla (Chinese pangolin), 17574 nucleotides long. RefSeq lists it as uncharacterized. The transcript is spliced from 3 exons. The record is from RefSeq and is a predicted model, not a curated record. Lineage: Eukaryota; Metazoa; Chordata; Mammalia; Pholidota; Manidae.
AGCAUGGAAACUUAAAAGAGUUGCCAUUUCUUAACAAAUUUAGAUUGCUUACAAAGCACUAGGGAAUUUCCUGGGGUUAAUUAUACAUCCUACACAACUUGGCUACACCGUUUUAGGCUUGACUCUUGGAUCUGUGUAUACAUUAAUAGUUUACGUGGUUAAUAUUUGAUCAUUUUUAGGAUAAAGACAAUACAGGUGGCUUAGUUGUGGAUAAAGUAAACUUGUAAAGAUAUUUAAAAUGCAGUAAGUUUUGAAAAUAAGUAAAUAAGAUCCAAGUAGAAGGUAUUGAAGUUUAUGGUCAGUGGUCUUCCAACCUCUCAGGUGCCUUAAUAGUUUAGGACAACAAGUAACAAAGAUAGUUGGAAUGUGGGAACAUGUCAGCUAGCCUGCACCAUCCAGGAGGCAGUGAGUAACAUCAUGCCUUUACUGGGUUUCUAACAUAGCAGUGUUUGUAUAAUUCUGGAACAUGUACUCAUAUGUUCUGUAAAUAAUAUGAAACUAUAUUUUUUCAAAGGUUUUUUAAAUUUGGGAGAAUCUUCUUUUGUAAGAUAUUAAAGGAAUAAAAGAGCUGGAAAAAAAAUAGUCACAGAAUUUGGGCAGUCAAGGAACACAAGAUGGGUCAAGCAAUUAUUUUCUGUGGAACCCAAAUCGACUGUAAUAACUUGGAGCAGUAUUUUAUGCAACAAGGAGGAGGACCUGAUAAAAAGGACACCAGUUCUAAUGUGUUUCUCUUCAUGGUGACGGAAAGACUCAUGAAAGGAAGCAAAAUUUGGAAAGAUUUACGAAAGGAGAUCUAAGACUCUUGAUUUGCACGGACGUAGCCGCCAGAGGAAUUGAUAUCUGUGGUGUUCCUUAUGUUAUAAAUGUCACCUUGCCUGAUGAAAAGCAAAACUAUGUACAUCGAAUUGGCAGAGUGGGAGGAGCUGAAAGGAUGGGUCUGGCCAUUUCCCUGGUGGCAACAGAAAAAGAAAAGGGUUGGUACCGUAUAUGUAGCAGCCAUGGAAAGGCUGUUAUAACACAAGACUUCAGGAAGAUGGUGGCUGUACCAUAUGGUACAGUGAGAUGCAGUUGCUGUCUGAGAUGGAAGAACACCUGAACUGUACCAUUUCUCAGGUUGAGCCAGAUAUAAAGGUACCAGUGGAUGAAUUUGAUGGAAAAGUUACCUGUGGGCAAAAAAGGGCUGCUGGUGGUGGAAACUAUAAAGGCCAUGUGGAUAUUUUGGCACCUACAGUUCAAGAAUUGGCUGCCCUUGAAAAGGAGGCGCAGACAUCUUUCCUGUAUCUUGGCUACCUUCCUAACCAGCUGUUCAGAACCUUCUGAUUCUAACAUACACUGACAGUUUGUGUUGACAAGUUGGCACUAAAGAGGGAGGAAAUAACAGAAGAGGAGCUCCAUCUCAACAGAAAGAAGUAGAAGGUUCAGCCCUCCAGUCACAUCAGUGUGAAGAGGAGAGGGCAAGAAGAACACAGUCAAACAAGUGUUUUUUACUUCAGCUCCCUGCAAAAUUCUGAGAAGAAAUGUGUCAGUUAGGAUCCAGCAGAGACAGAAACCACACCAAUGAUUUGAACAAAGAAAACUUAACAUAAAUAAUUAACUAACAAAAGUUGUUAACUGCAAAGAGGCUUUUCCAACUGUGUGUCUUAAAUUCUGUAUUUGCUUAUACGGUACUCAUUAAUUACAGGGCUAACUAACACACUGGUAAAGUUGUUUACAUCCCCGCCCCACCCACAAUCCCAAAGCAUGUGCUCUGAAUCACCUCCUUUUCCAGCUCUCACACACCACAUGCCAGUACCUCACUGCCCUAAACCACCCAGGGCCAAGCACCGCACAGCUAGAGCUGAGGGUGAACAGGUAAGGAAGGAACUAAGAACUUAGAGGAGCUUCUCCUCCCCCGCAAAGAUGAGAUGCAGACCUCUUCAGAGACGGCAAAGUGCCACAGGAGCACACAGCCUGCUGAUGGACACUUGCCAGAGAGAAAUCCAGAGACGGUCCACGAACGUGCCUGCCACAUGGUGGAGAAACUUGUUGGAGAGUGUGAAUGGGAUGGAGUUGGUCCACAGCACGGCCUGCCGGGUGGUUUGUGAGGGCCGCUGAGUGUUACUGGGCAUCCUGCACAUGGUCCACCGAACACCCCACCCCCAAGAAUCAGUGCACGCUGGAAAUAGGAGGGGAAGCCCCUCCUCCCACUAUGGCCUUGACGUGUCCCUUUAACACCCUCCACUGACAAAGCCUAACAUUAAGCCAGCUGGCAAAGGAGAACUGUUUACAGAGUCCAGAUCCCACAUCACAAAGCAGUGCAAAGAAGAAUGGAUUCAGAGAUGAGAGGCAAUAAGCUGGUAACUGGCACAGAUAGUGAGGGGAAGGGAUGGCAGACUGGUAGUUAGACUGAGGGUGAAAUAACGGGCUUGUGCCCCACUUCCUAACCAAAACUCCCCCUCAAUACUAACAUAGGUGGCCACAGACUUAAAAAUGGUGGCGUACCAUGGUGACACAAGGCAGAGAGAGGAUCUGAGUGGUAGCACUCUGUGCCUCCCUUAGCUUCUGCGUGGUAAGAAAAGAACUCUGAAGUUCUCCACCCCACGGAAAGAAACCAAGUCAAGAGCCAUGACAUCUGCCACGGGGUGAAUAACUGAAGGGCAGACCAAGACAGUGCCCUGGACCUGAUGGAGACAAAGGGGUGGUUAUUUCCAACUUUGCAGGAGUCUUUGGAUUCAUAAGGAACUUCACAGGCCAUCUAGUUCAACCUAAAUUCUUUGAAUGGUUCGUGUGUAAAAUGUUACUGAGACUUGGGGUAUUUUGCAAAUGGACUGCAUGUUAAAUAAUGCUAUUGCACUAAGGUUGACCUGAUGUGUGUGAAAGGUGCUGUGGUGAUAUAAGAGAAUGUCCUUGUUCUUGGCUACCAUGAAUCUAGACAUACUGAGAGGGUGAAGCAAGUGUUAAGAGUUGGUAAAUCUAGGUGAGGGAUAUACUGGUGGUCCUUAGCACGAUGUUUCAGCUUUUUAUAGGUUUUAAAUUUUUCAUUAUAAAAACAUUAAUAAAAUAAAAUAAUAACCAAUGCCCUUGACAAGUAUAAUCUAUCCUUCUCAAUAUCCUUAGGGGAGGAAAUUCCACAAAUCCCCAGGAAACCAGCACAGCACCAUAGUAAGGGGUGUGAGCAGCACCGCGGCAGCCCAUAGUCACCUCAGGUGCUGUGCGGGCGCCGCAUUCAGACUUAGCAAAUUCUCUCUCCACGGGCCUCAGCAAUGCUAGGGGGUGGGUGGGUAUGACCACCGCCAUAUUUCACAGGCGUGGGAGCCAGAGCUUUAGUGGGGUAACCCAGUAACUGAGUGAUCCCCCUCGAGUCAGGGUAGGCCCAGGACCUACACCUGGGUGGGCGAACUCUGGAGCCCACACUAUUCAUACUACUAACCUCGUCAAACUUGGUCAGUGCUCAGUGUUGGAAUUCACUCGGAAAUCACAGCCAGCAUUUUUAAAAAAUUAAGCAAAAUAGAAAAUACCACUAUGCUCCACAAUAAGGGCAGGUAUUAAUGAAAUCACAGACUUUCUUCAUACACACACACACACACACACACACACACACACACACACACACACACACACACAGUCAUAGUAGAGUGUGCAUUCCUCAUGCAGGUCUUUUAUUCUAUAUUGUCUCCUCCUCCUCUUUCAUUUCCUGCUCAGAAGCUUGUUUAGGAGACCAGAGGAAAAAAAGGAAUACAGAUUCGGGUGGCUAAGUGAAAAAUUCCACUGGGAAUUUUCUAAUCUCAAAAUAAGCCAAAAUAAUAUACUUUCAGUACACACUCAUAGAUAAUGAUGCAGCUGGCAAAUCUGCUAGUAUAAUAAAAGAUACCUCCAAGUAGGAAUUUGGAUAAUCCCCUUGAUAUUUGUUAGAGGAUAUUAUCUGUAAUUCUAUUAAAAGAUAUCAAUUUAAAAUUCAUGCUGAAAUAAUAUAUAUAAAUAUGGCCAAUGGUUAAAAUUAAAUGCGAAGAUUCUUCUCUGGUCUUUCUUCUCCACUGAAAAUCCCAGUGCAUGUCAACAUAAAGGAAGGAAGCUGAGUGGUGGAGAAUUAUUUCAGCAGACUCCCCCCAAACAAGCACCUAACUGUGUAUCCUAUUUUUAUAAGUUAAGCAGGAAAAAUGAAGGAGAAAAUCAUUCCACAAGUGUUUAAGGUCCGCCAUUAAAGGAGGGUUUUCUGUGAAUUAAUCUUACCAAAUGAAGUCAUAGGAAGAAAGUACUAUGUCUUUAAAUCUACAGCUAUUUUUCAUUCCAAGUUUCUGUUUAAGGCCAUUACUGCUCCCUGGGGACUGCGUUGACUCACUGCAUCUUCAGAAUGACGCAAGUGAGCUUCUCUGCACAACUUCAAAACAGACUGUGAAUAUACCCAGGCAAAGGCUGCCUUUGGAGCCAGCAGACCAGUCAGGCACCACUGGCAAAAUUGCCAGGUGCAAGCAGGUGAUGAGGACGCCAUUCUCCUCAUCCUCAGCUUCAUCAUGCGCUGGUCACUUUCUUCAACUGGUAAAAUAACUAGACCAUUUUUUCUAAAUCCUUCCUUAAUUUGCCCAUCCUAUUUGGGAUCUCAUAUCCACUUUCACUGCCCACUUGGAGGCCAAUCUACUUUCCUGGACUUGGUCAUAUGGUAAGAAGAGAAUGGAAACAAGAAAACUAGCUCAGAUUUCUCCAGUGGUAGGUAUCCCACACACCUUGAGUUCCUUCCUUUAAUCAUUUUAUCUAAAAAAAAAUAUCAUGGGGAGUGGGAAAGCAACUUUAAUGAUCCAUGCUCUCCUACCCUACCCCAUUUUUAGAAAUAACUGACAGUUGGCUGUAACACUAUUUCUUCAGUCUUAGUAGAGACAACACCGAACGGCUCAUUUCACCCCCCAAAAUCAGUCCUAUCUGCACCCUCCAAAGACAGUGAGCAUAAGUGGAUAACUGACAAGACUAGCAAAGACAGACCAUCCACCUGACCACUCAGAAUGAACAGCAUCAGCCCUUGGCAUGUGCCAGGCUCCUGCAGGUGCUGGAGACAGAGCAGACUGACCAAGCCAGUCAGAGCCCUUCCCUGCAUGGAGCUUACCAUCUAGUGAAGGAGGGAGGCUUUAAACAAUUGCCACACUAAUAGGGUUCAUUGUAAGUAUGGAAACUGCCAACAAGGACUAACACAGGUGCUAGAGAAUCUGACUGAGGCUAGAAAGGUCUCUGUGAAUGUGAUAGGUACGAUGAGACUGGAGGAUGAGGUGGUGUUAGCCAGGGAGAGGACAGUCUGAGAUAUGAAAGCGGAGGGAACAAUUCAUUCAGAAAUAGUGGGUACAAAGACUGUAAGGCAAGGAAGGACCUGAUACAAGUAACAAUAUGAGGUGAGCAGAAUCCAGAAACUGAAGCUGAAAGAGGUUUCCUUUGGGACUGGUCAGACGGAGACAGCCCUAAGAUCAAGAGCAACAGGAUGAAGGCAAACAAGGCUACAUCUGCCUGGCUGUAACCAGAUAGCUUCAGCAUUACCUGGUUCACCAUAUUUCCAAAAGGCCCUACAGCUUCCCUCCUAAAACGGACAGCCAAAAACCAGAUGAGCCAACAUAAAAUGUGUUUACUUUUUUAAAAAGUAGUUUACAUUUGGGGCUGCUCAUUUUCACACACUGUUCUUUUUGAGAACACUCAAAUUAUAAAAGGCAUCUGUGGUGUCAGAAAGCAGAGUGGGCUCUAAUAAUACAAUGGCCGAACAUCUGUAUAUAAUAAAACUUCUAGUAAUCAAACUCAAGGUCAGGAUUUGUCAGUAGUACCUCUGAAGAUCAAAUGCAAUUUCACCAUAUUUCUAUUUUAUCCUUACCAAGGCAUGAGCCACCUAAAAGCACCAAGAUAUGACAUUGUUUUAAACCCCCCAGUAACUUCCCACAGACCAGAUGACAUAUGUGGUGUAUAUAUUGUUGUUUUUCUUCUAGUGGCCAUGUUUGCUUCCUCAAGGCAUUUCACUAUCAAAUGCACCACUUCAAACCUAUUUCUCUCUAUAAACGUCUGAGCUCCCCCUCCACAAACAUAAAGGGUUUAACAGUCCUUUCAUGACUUACCACUGGGGACUAGAGUCUUUGCUCUGUCUCAGGACUUUACAGACUGCAUUUAGAGGUGAAAUCAUACUGCACUGUGCCAUAAACCAGCAGGCUCUAUAAUAAAGUAAAGCUGGCGAAGGGCAGAAAAGAGGCAAAGAAGAAUGGAAUUUUUAUAGUAAACAACUUUGCCAUUUUGAGUAAUGACUAUUACUAAAAUGUGCUCCUGCUUUUCCAGUAUCUCUCCUUCUCCAUCUGUUGAUCUUCGUUGCCAUAACCACCACUUGCAUCAUCCAACAAACGGCAGGCCCCUCUCCAUGCUGUUACUGCUCCUCCAUCACUCCAGAUCUCGCUCCAGAUGGGCUUUCACUCACCUGACAGCUGCUUAGGCCAACAGCUGUUAUCAUGUCACACAGGGGGGCUGUUUUGUGAACAAGUAACUAGAAAUUAAUCCUUAGAUUUUAAAAAAAAGUCAUAGUUCUCAACAAUAUAUAUUUAAAUCCUACUUAAUCAUAAUUCUCAAUUAACUAGAAAGUUUUCUCUUCCCUAUUUACCACAAACUUUUUUUUUUUUAAUUUUCAAGGACAAAAUAUAUAUUUGGCUUAAUGGCCUCUUAAUUACUCUCUAUCAGCAGUAACCCAUAAUCGUCAAAGGUGUUAAAAUAAUGACUCUGAGUCUCUGGGGCAAGAGCCCAGAAACGUGGACUGCGCACAUGGGCAGAUAUUUCCUCUCCUGCCAGUGACCCCGUAAAGUUAUAACGAAGUUAUUUAAAAAUCUAAAUCCACAAUGACGAGGACAGAAUGGGAGUUGUCAUCAUAUGAGAAUUGCAACACAUCUUUGGAAUCUGGAAAUGGAUGGUCAUUUACAUCACGAGGCAGAGCCGAGCCAAGGAAAUCACAGUCGAGGAGAGUCCUGAAAGAGCAGGUGACAGAGGGGGCCUGUCUGCCAGGAAGAACCCAGGAUAUGAAGAUGCAAGUGGAAUGGAGAGUGGGAAUGAGACAUGGGGGGGGACCAAGGAUUGUCAGUCUGUAUAUGCAACAGGAGACAAUCAAAACACAACCUGGGCCACUCCCCCCACUCGCAGACACCCACCUCCUGUAAGGCAGGGGACCCCUCUAAGGAAGAUAAAGGGCAGUCCGGAGAGUACUUCAUGUGGCGUGUCAGCGGCCCAGUGGAAGUAAGCCCUUCAGGAGGGUUUCUUGAUUGCCCUACUCAUCAGUCCAGAAAUACAACCAACCAAUUUAUAAUCCCACCCACGCAUGGAGAACUCCCAUCAACCUUCCAAUUCCCACUUUCUUCAGUACAAAUGGACAAUCUGAUCACCAUACUUUCGAGAAAAGCCUAGAGCAUCACAGAAAAAGACAAGACAGACAGAUUAACCCUGAAGGAAAUAGAUAAUUCAGGAAACUGGAGAAAAUUUUUAAAAACAACAAAAACAAAAAAAGCCAUGUUAAUUCAUACCCUCAGAGAGACUCAUAAAAAUUACAUGCUCAGAAAGCAAGAAUGUGAUGGUUUGAAAGAUUUUUAAAAUAAGAGAACUCAGUUAAAAAUAUGACUGCCAAAUAAAAAAAUUAAUUAAAAAAUGAAUGAAAAAUAGUCAAGGAAAUCUCUUAAAACCUAGAAAAAAGACAAAGACCCAGGAAGGCAACUAUUAUAUUAAUACAAACAAAGAGCCCCUUCUAAGAACGAGACCCAGUUUCACUGCUUCUGCAGCUGUCUGCCAGGUCCUGUAACUGCCCAGCCCCUGCAGGGCUUUCUCCACUUACCAGCCUGGCCUCCAAAGUGCAGCCUCUGAAGACCUCACGAAAUCAAUUACCACAACUUCUUAACUAAGGUUACCUGAAAGCUUACUUAACUCAAACUUCACAGAAGACACCUAGACCGGCCUAACAGAGUAAAACCAGGACUCUUAAGUUUGAGCUCCUUUGUCUCAGCAUAGCCAUACCUUCCUGGUCUAGCCUUCUGUGCAUCACACAGACCUUCUCUUACAUUGCAGACAUCCUCCCUCUCGGAGUCAUCUUCCCCUUUUUUAAAGUAUAAAAGUUCCUUUGUCUGUUGGAGGUAAAACUCAGUUUUUGUGUAUCUGAAAAUGUUAUUAUUCCCUCAUUACUAAAUUAUAUUUUAACUGAGUUUAAAAUUCUAGGUUGGUAAUCAUUUUCUCUCAGCGAUUUAAGGUAUGAUUCCACUGUCUUGUGGUUUCCAGUGUUGCUGCGGAGAAGUGACGCUUCCAGUCUAAUAGCGUUCCUUGAAGGCAAUCCGUUUCUAUCUGAUUGAUUUUAAGAUCUUUUUGUCUUUGGUGUUUAUUAUACUAUUAUACUCCAAUUCGCUGGAUAAGCCUUUAAGAAAGAAAAAUUCUACUUGGGGUUUGCUCUGAUUCCUAAAUCUAAAAAUUCAUGUUUUUCAAUAUUUUUGGAAAUUUUUAGCAUUACUUCCUCAAAUAUUGCUUCUUCAUAUAGAUAUUUUAGAUCGUCUCAUGCUGUUCCAUUUCUUUAGAUUUAGUUUCCCUAUUCUUCAUCUUUACCUUCCUGUGCUGAAAUCUGUGUAAUUUCUUCAGCUUUAUCCCCCAAUUUACUAAAUCUGUCUUCAACUAUGUCUACCUUGUUUUUAAACCUGUCCAUUGAGAUUUCACUGAUUAUAUAUUUCAGUACUUUUCCAAUUCUGAUCCUUUCUUCAUAAGGUUUUUAGUCUUGUUUUCUAUUCUAAUAUCUAAAGCUCCAUAUAGUUCUGCUGCUCUUUUAUCCUGCUCUCUUGUUCAUGGUUAUUUGUUUCCUUAUGUUUUUAAGUUUUGGAUUCUCAUCUCAUGUCUGGAGAGGUUUUUUUUUUUUUUUCUUUUUUUAGGAGAGCAAGGUACAGGCUUUUAUUUAGAGAUAAAGUGAAAAGACAGAGCUCCCAGUUCACGCCAGGAGGGGACAAGAGAGUCCCUCUGGAGAGGUUUUAUCUGUGGGAAUCCUGAGCUAUGGCUGUGAUGAAGGUAGGUUUAUUCAAAGAGAAUAUGUAAUGACUUCUGCCAAGUAUCCGGGAACUCUACCAACCUACGAUCUCUUUAAAAUAAUUUCUUUUCUUGGAAUUUCCCAGACUACAGAUGUCAAGUAAAUUCAAACAAGGUUCUGUCGUGAUCUCCCCAGUCCACCCAAAUCCUUCAACAAUGAAACCCUUUAGGUGAGCACACAGAGUUGGAUCAUAUUCAAAUCCCUGUGGACCUUGUAUUUCCCUUUCCUCGGGCUCUUGCUCAGGAUAUUCCCUCUGCCCACAUCUGUGUCUUCUUCCUGUACCCUUUACUCCUUUUAGUAGUUAAAUUUGCGGUGGGGUGAAAUUCUACCCCGUUACUCCAGGCCUUUUCAUAUGCCCAGUCUCUCCCCUCAUCUCCCCCCACCAAUCACCCUAGUGAGAAGCGGUCUGGCUUUCUUUUGAACCACUAUAAUUCUUUUUACCCAUGUUAUUAAAGUGAACCAAAUAAUCCCUAGUGUUUGAAUUAAAUGUUUGGGUGUUUCUCCUUCUCUAUUCGAUUCCUGAAAAUCAGGACCAUCUUUUGAUUCUUCACAGCUCUAACACAAUGCUUUAUGCUUGUGCAAACAAACAGUAAAUAGCUGCCAAAUGAGUCAAUGAACAUAUGCAGGAGUGAAAAUUCUAAAGCAAAAUUAGUAUGAUGGGUGAUAUCUCCUCUCCUUCCCAAAGAUGCACAAGGGCCAACCAGACGGACAUUCUGAUGUAAAUAACCUAAACCCGGUCAGUCACAGCAACAAAUGCUCAGAAAUAUCCAUUUCAUAUCCUUAAGCUGCUUCAAUUCCCAACUAAAAUGUUAAAACUGUACUCCCCAUGGCAAUUACCAGACAACUUUUAAAUACCCAUGUUUGAAAGAGAAACAUCUAUGAGUUUUUCAUGGUAGAUGUUAUUUUUUUCCCGUUAAGCAAACAAGCUUCUGAGUAAGAUACCUGAAACAUUUUAAAAGUAUAGCAUCAGUUAAUGUACAAUGAAUGUCACAUGGAGUAAGAACAAAUGUUCCUGUAUUCUUACAUCUACAUAACUUAUUGAGCCAAUAAAAUGACAGAACUCUAUGUCCCUUUUUGUCCCCCCAAACUCAAAACACAAAUAUACAGAACAUAAGUUGGCACUCCAGCUGACUCAAUGAAAACUCAACGCUGACCUGUAAUUUUUUGUUUCGUUUUUUUAAGGGAGUGCCACCAUGUGGUGAAUGCUUUUACUACACUUUAACAUAGGUAAUUAAUACGAAGGGUGGGUUAUACUUGAAAGCAGGGGAAGGAACAAAUUAUCUAGGCCCAAUAUGACACAAAAUAGAGCCCACAUUGUGUAGAAUAACUUAUAACAGAUUACUUUGGCAAUGAGCAAAUUCUAGAGUUAAAAUAUUAGAGUUAAGAUGUUAUGUUAUCUGUUUCUUUCAGGAGGAUUCAGAAUAUGAUCCUCAUUUCCUAAAUUUGUGAGACCCAGAGUCAAUCCAGCCAUUAUUUUCACAAGGUCUCACUCACAAGUUUGUCAGCAACCAUCAUUUCUCCCCCUGGGCCAACAGGAAAGUAUCUGUUGUGCCUGGCCAGACCCACUUUCCAUGCUGUGGUCAUGUGGCUGCUCUGGUUGUUCAGCACAACAGGGAGCAAGCUGGCAGGGGGUGCCGGGGGAGGUCAAGUGUGCUUGGUAUGUGUCUGUGGAAUGCCACGGGCCACAUUCUUCAGAGUGCACCAAUGCAUGCCACAACCCUGGCGCCCGCACUUCGGAAGCUCCUGGGCAGCAGUUUCUCCAGGACCCUGGGAAACUUGUGGGCGAUGACCUGCACCCACUUGGGCUCCAUUCUGCCAAAUACAAUCUGAUGAAUUCACCCAAUUCUUUGCUUUUUUAUCUUGCCUCUCCUUGGGGAAGCACUCAAAAGCAGACCAACACCCAAAUCUUGUGACAGUUUCCUUAUCUAAUUCUGCUGAUGAACGGUUUUUACACGAGGCCAACACACAUGAGUGAUUCCUUGGGUCAGUGCCAGGGUUGGGAAAACCUGCCAGACUAUGCCCCAAUAGAUUCAUGUACCUUUCAAAAAUUUCAACAUUGGUUAAAGCACUAAAACUGUGGCACAAAGAAGAAAGCAAAAAGGGCUCUUGGGGGACCUAAGAGGCAUAUUAGAAACACAGGGGCUAUCAGGUCGAAUUAUGGCUCUAGGUCACCAAAUUACUUGGAUUUCUUCCCUUACAAAGAAAGAAAUACUGAUCUGCUAUUGUCAGCACACAGGUAAAUGGAUCUACCAGAAACACCUGCCAGAGGGGCAGUUCAUAAUUAUGUAUCAAAAGCCUUCGGUGUACCUAUUCUUUUGAUGCAGAAAUCCUACUUCUAGAAAUCUAUCCUAAGUAAAUGAUAAGAAGAUACAAAAAUGGAUCAUGAAGAAAAUUCUAGGGAGAAAAACUUCCAACAACUUAAGUGCUCAUCAAUAGAGGAUUAGGAGAAUUAAGUGGUGGCAUAUCCAGAUCUAUCAUACAUGAUUUCCAUCCUGCUUCAUUUUUACACAGUAUUCCCUCCUCCUACAAGAACUGCAGAGAAGUGAGUGAGUAGCACCCAGGUUUCCCCUGGGUUGCUGGCUGUAGUACUGUCAUAACCACACAAAGCCUCUCCUCGCACAUCUAAAAACCACCCUUUAUGCUGAUAAAGGCUAUGGACCUCCUCACCAAAAUAAAACAAAAGAACAUGUGAACACAUGAAUGUUUGUAUAUAUUUUCAGAAAGGCCUAGAAUUCCAGAGAGCAUAUCAUUCAAGUUUAAAAAUAAAAAAUUACCUUGUCAAGGUAACAAAUUCUGAAUAUGGGCAUGGGUAAUUCUGGCCCAAAAGAAAAGAGGUGGGAGACCUUUAGUCUUUGGAAUGGUUGGCUAAUCAGGCAGACAGGUAUGAAGCUCACCACUAACUCUACUCGUAUCCUCUAAAAUGAUCAAAUCACUCUAAACCCAAGGUGUCAGAAACACAAAACAGAAUAUAUUUGACCUCACAUACAAUAAGCACAAGGAAAUAGUGUGCCACAAGGAAUGGGCAAUCUGUACAGAUUUCCAAAGUUACUGGAAAAAAGAAAAGCAUAUAAUUGCCCUAAUGGAAGAGGGAAACUUUAACAUGAGAAAUGACAAGCAACAGAAUUUGGUCUGAACCAGAAGACCCAGAUAUAUGUUCCCUAUCGGAAGUAAUGCAACAAAACAACUUGAAAAGCUCUAGGGAGAUACAUGGUACACAAAAGUCUCACUUCACAGGAUAAAUGCACUCCAAAGAGCUCAGCCCUUACUUUCUCCACUGGUUUCUGGGUAAGCUCAGCUAUACUACUAGAGAAGAAAAUCACCCUACAGGGCACAAUGAUGACCACAUCCUGGCCUCUGGAGCUGGCCCUGACCUGGCCUCUGCCCCACUCCCCACCAAAACUGUCUCCACUCAUCGGUCUGCCCACUCAGGACUUUUAUAUAACUGUCCCUUUUCCUAGAAUGUUCUUACCUCUCCAAAGCCUGCUCAUCAGUCCAGUCCUGGCUUAAUGUCUCCUCCUCAGAGAAGCCAUUCCUGCCCUCCUCCUGCUCCCAUUACGUUAGACUCAUUCUCCCCUCAUGCUGGCAGAAGAGGUAGUAGUGGUGGUAAUGACAACACAUAAUCACAACUAAGAUAUCUGAGUGCUUAUUUCUGGGGGCUUUUCCUCAUUCACCUUAUAUGUAUUAUUUCAUUUACAACUCACUGUAAAAACCAAGGACAGGGGUGCCAUUAUGAUGCUCAUUUUACAGCAGCCUGGGGGAGGUCCAUGUGCAAGAAGUCAAGCCUUCCUGCCAACAGCGCUGCCUUGCCAGCCCUGUGAGGGUGCCACCUUGGAAGCAGCUCCUCCAGCCCCAGUCAAGCCAUCAGACGAUGCAGCCCCCAGCCAACAUCUAGACUGCCAUCUCAGUAGAGACCACAAACCAGAACCAUCCAGCUAAUCCACUUCUCAAUUCCUUGCCUGCAGACACUGUGAGGUAAUACAUAUUUGCUGUUUUAAGCCACUACAUUUUGAGGUGAUUUGUCACGCAGAAAUAGAUGGCUAAUAGUGAUGGGAAAACUGAGACUCAGAAUGUAACCAGCUCACAGUUACACAACUUGUAAGUGUUGGAACCAAAAAUUUUUAAUUCUGCUUGUUUGACUCUAGAGCCUGAGCUCUUAACUAUGACACUGUGCAGCCUCUUCCAUGUAAGGAUUAAUGCCCCAAUAGACCUCAAAAAGGCAAGAAUCAAAACUGUCUUUUUUAAUACUGUGAACCCACCAAACACCAGUACAAUAUACCCAGCAUGUUACAGAUAUUUGUCAAAAGAAUGAAUAAAUGGAGUGAAUGAAAUGAAAAUAAUUACAAAAAGUUGAAGAGUGGAUUAUAGCUAACAUGUUCUACUCUAUACUUUGCUAAAUUAAAUUUUCUACAAUGUACAUGUGCUAUGGGGUUCACCUCACUGAAAAUCAAUUUAAACUGAGACCUGAAAGAAAGGAAAAUGAAUUACCCAAAUGUCCCAGGGCAGAGGAACUAGAAAGCAGUGCAAAGGCCCUGUGGUAGAAACAGACUGCCAUAUUCAAGAAAAAGAUGGACCAAUGUGGCUAUGAGGGGGUGCUGGGACACAGGCCAGAUCUCAGUUAGGCAUCUGGCUUGUAGUUGAAGUCAAAUGAGAAGCUACUGGAGGGCUUUAAGCAGAGAGCAAUAUGAUCUCAUUUGCAUUCCUGAAAGAUUAUUCAGGUUUCUGUAGGAAAAAUAAGUUGUAAAGCAGAGAGACUGAAAGCAAGAGUAUUAGUAAGGAGGCUAUUAUACAAGCCCAGACAAAGGAAUGAAUUCGAUGAAACGAUUCCUGUAAAGUGUUUAACAUACUGCCCAACACACUGCACACACCCAAGAAUUGCCAUUUUUUCUUUGUAAAUGCUCAGUUUGAAAAUCACUAUAAAAUACAUAUAUAUGCACACAACAUAAAAUUAAAAAUUACUAUGUUCUAUAUUCCAAGGCAUGGAAAAAUGCUCACAACAUACUGUUAAGGUUUUUUUUUAAAGCAAAUAAACAAAAACAGCAUAUCUGUAUUAACCCUUCUGUGUGAGAGGGUUUCACAAAAUAUUUCCACAAAAUUAACAGUGGUUAUCUGUAAGUAGUGGGAUUAUGGGUGAUUUUUGCUUUCUUCAUUAUCCCUUUCUAUACUUCUGAAUUUUCUUUUUUAAUAAUGGGCAUGUAUUCCUUUUAUAGUGAUACAUAUAAAGUCAUUUUCAUUCGUGGAAAAAAACUUUUCCCUAUACUAAAAAAGAAGAAAUUUGAAGAAAUGGCUAUAUCCAGUAAAUGAAGGUUUAAAUUAUUUCAGAGGAGAACCAAUGUUAACUGGGAGAGUCUUCUGGUCAAAUCGUGUCAGGGAAAUGGCGACAUUACAAGGCAGCGUGGAGAAAUGCUGCUCUCAGGACCUGAAAAUGGUGAAUGGCUUUGGUUAAUGUCUAACAAUGACUUUAAAAAUAUAAAAUAAAAGGGGGAGUUGAUGAAAACAGGAUAUGUCAGCAUUUCUUGAUUUUGUCCUCCUGGUCCUAAUAAUUCUUCAUAACAAACUUUCCUCCACAAAGAAGAGAAAGAAGGCUGGGAGAGACUUUGGGUAGGGAAAGACUGAUGGUUUCAAGAAAAGACAGCUGCCACUUUACCACCUAGACGUUGACUGUCAGAUUUUAAUGAAGCCAAAGACUGUGAAUAGACACAAAAAAGGGGAAAAAGUAAACUUGGCCCCCAAAAAUGUAUAAGAGAAAUUAUCUUCCUUAAAAAGUCAAGAAGCAGUUUAAUAAGGAUUUAUUAUCCUAAGGUUUAAGCAGAAAAGUCAUCUUUGAACAUUUUUAAGUCUUUUUACAAGAAUCAGUUAUGCAGCCACUUGGAAAAGAUCAGAAUAUUUCCUGCUUUCAAGAACCCCUGACAUCUGUGAGACUUGGAAGGGUCUAUGUUAAGAGGACAGAAAGAAAUCCAGGAACAGCAGAUCUCUUGUUACCACACGGUGGCUUCUUCACAAACCCAAGAGGCGCAGGAAUCCUGACUGAUAACAAUGUCCCAGUUCUUAAGUGUGUAGGUCCCCAGCACUAAAGCUGAAGUUAAGCAGGAACAAGAGAACAAACACGGAUACUGUUUGUCCUUAGUACAGCCAAAUGGCAUCCAAUAGCACCAGGAUUGACAGGCAAAGCCAUAGCAAAGUUAACCCCAAUCAAUCCCUAACCCAAGCAUAACGUGACUGCAUUUCAACCCGGUUAUCACACAACUACAGCAUGGCCUGGGGAGAGUCUUCUGAGUCUGUGACCGGAGUCUUGGCUCCUGUCCUGGCUCCACCACUGAGACAGACUCUAAGCCAGCUUCAGCAUAUGAGAGUGUAGCUAGUAAUACUAGCCCUGUGCAGCUAUUGGGGGGAUUACGCAAGAGGGUGUAUGCAAACCCCUAGACGAAUCCCAGACACACAAGGUAUGCUCACCAGUUAUGACACUACGCAGCUGAUAUCCUAGGGAAACACCCCUUGCUCCACAGAAGCCUGCAAGUUGUGCAGUUGCCCACAGGCCUCCACAGCCCUGAAAAACCUUGGGAAAGCAUCUUAUCAGGCCUCCCUCUACUUCAAUGAAUGAGAUAAUGCCCUCUCUUAGCCUCCCAAACUCAAUGAGAUGGGUAUGAUUUUGGCUGAAAUAACUAGCUCGACCUGACAGCUAGUAAAGUAAAAUCCAAACUCUUUGGAUUUUACUUCUCAGGUCUGUCUGACUACAGGGCCCAAACCCUUAGCCACUCUGCAAAUCAAAAUGGAGAGAAUAUGCUGCGCAUCCCGCACAGCACCAGGCUCAGAGUAAGCAUGCAUACGAGGUGGCAAAUCACCUAAGUAAUAUUAACAGCAUCCCUCAAGGAAGGAAUUACUAGACCCACUGUACAGCUAAGAGACCUGAUGUAAAACUCCUGGAGGAAGAGACAGUGCUUACAGGGGGUGCCCUGGAGGGGCCAAAGUUUCUUAAUUUUAUCAGAAUCUUCAUCAAAGUCCUCCAGCUUUUCCUAUGAAAUUUAGAUUCUCAACCGGAAAGUGGAGCCUGUACGCUUCCCACCACCCGGCAUUCUCCGCCAGGAGUCAGAGCCCUUGCCACGUGGGCUGAUCUCAGAGCAUGUCUUAGAACAACCUGCUCUCACUGAGUUCUGAGAAUGUGCUCACACCAGCCUCAGUUUCUUUGUUUAUAAAACAAGCUCCUAAAAGGGCCUCAAGAGGUCAAAUAAAAUGGCCUGGGUCCCCCUUUCCAUCCAACCUUCAGUACUCCCCCACUUCCCUGGGAACAGCUCUGGAGUGAGAACAGCAGGCAGCCCCAAGGGGUGCCCAGCUCUGUCCAGGCUGGGAGCCCAGAGGUUUCCAAACACCUGAAUUCAAGGCAAGAAAGAGUUUUGUUUUCAUUUUCUUUUAAAACGCCCCCAGAGACACACACACCUCAAAACUUCCUUACAGUUAAGUCAAAGUGGAUAAAGAUCAGUUAUCACGUAUUAGAAAGCAGCCAGCCAGUGCUGAUGCUGCAAAGGUCAGCAGAGGCUAGCUCCGAGGGCACAAAAGUUUCUUUUAGACAUCUGAAGAUAAUUCGGCAUGCAGCAACAGAAACAGCCCCUUCCCCUCAACUCCCGUAAACCCUAACUUCUCUUUGGUAAAAUGCUACCAGGUUGCCUUAGACACUGUCAAGAUAAUCCCAAAGAUGAAGAGAAAAUGUUAGAGAAAAAUGUAUUUCAAUGACAUGAAAGAGAGAAACUUCCAUUUAUAGCAAUGCUGAAAAAUUCACCAACUUUGCUGUGUUUGAAGACAUAAAAUGCUUCAAAAGUUGUGAAGAUAUAGUGACCGCCCCCUAAAUUAGCUAAUUUGAAAUCUAAAGCAUGCUGCAAUGGCAUGUGGGAGGUGAACUGCUUUCAUUAGACCAAAUAAUUAAUUAAUACAUCCAUCCAAAGCAGAAGGCCGGAGAAGCAGCUCUCCCCAGGAGGAGAACUGAAUGGGGAAGCCGCAGUGCUAACCCGGUUUGUCAGAAGUCAGGGAGAAGUGAAAACACACAAAACCUUCCAAACCCAGCUGUUUUCCUAAAUCCGUAUAAAUCUGGAAGCAGGCUACAGCAGGGCACCGACUUCGAUGUGUUGGUCUUUGCAUUUAUAAAGCCAUUCUUCUUUAUAAGGAAAGUGCUUGCCCUUUCUCUCAGAGACAUGAUUCCUUUGAAAUACUAAAUGGCUUACAUAAUGGGCCAACUACAAUUCUUUCAAGUCACAUUUUAAUAAACGCUAAGAGUAAUCAAUUCUUUUCUGUUUUGACAAAAACAUAUCCUGAUACGGAAGAGUGUUUUUUCUGUACAAUGAAGCUCCUGGAAGGCACAGGUCUUGGAGAGUGUCCUUGUCCCCCUCAGUCCCCACACUCCCAGCCGGAGUAGCCGUCUAGAGGGCAGAAGAGAGACUGGCCAUCCACAGGCCAGGGAGAGUAGCAGUCCAGCAGAGGCCCGCACGGUGCUGGCGCAGACCUGUCAGUCCACAAUCCCGCUGGCCCUGGGAAAGGAGCUGCAGAGCGGCAAUGGCCUGAGA